UACGAAGGGGGCUAGCGUUGCUCGGAAUUACUGGGCGUAAAGCGUGCGCAGGCGGUGAUGUAAGACAGGUGUGAAAUCCCCGGGCUUAACCUGGGAAUGGCAUUGGUGACUGCACGGCUAGAGUGUGUCAGAGGGGGGUAGAAUUCCACGUGUAGCAGUGAAAUGCGUAGAGAUGUGGAGGAAUACCGAUGGCGAAGGCAGCCCCCUGGGAUAACACUGACGCUCAUGCGCGAAAGCGUGGGGAGCAAACAGG
RNAcentral lists this ribosomal RNA (253 nucleotides) under uncultured bacterium. RNAcentral's name for it is "partial 16S ribosomal RNA". It matches the Rfam family "Bacterial small subunit ribosomal RNA", at positions 524 to 776 of the family's 1533-position model. The record is from RNAcentral.